ACUUCUUUUGGCUUUGAUUCACAACCAAUAAUUUAAGUAGAAAGAGCAAGAAUAGAUACAGACCAUUUGAAGCACAAGUUUCUUUAAUAUUAGAUAUCUAGCAAAUCAGAGGCCAACUAACAGUAGAAAGCUAGUUCGCAGAAGUAGAAAAAAGCAACCGAGCAACAGCGGAACAAAUAAUUUCAGUUAAAACGAACAACCAACAACAGUAAAAUCCACACCAGAAGUGAACUCAAAAGUUAAUCCAGAGAAUCAACCAUGUGUUUCAGACCAAAAACAAAGGAAACUGAAACUCUUGAUGUUUUUCUUGCCUAAAACCUAUUGUGUGCUGAAAACUUAGUAAAAUGCUCUCUAAUUCCUUUUUUUUUUGUAUGUUCAAGAUCUCUCCUUUAUAGGAGAUGAGUGUCUCAAAGAUGGUUCAAAGUUGAACAAAAAUUCCAUCCAUAAUAAUGAGAAAGGACAAUCCUUUUCUCCAAUUUCAGACACAAGCAAGGAGUAGAUGUACUCCUAACAACUCCAAAACAGUAAAAGAAACCAAACUGUACUCUACACUCAGAUAUUCAGUUUUUAUCAUGACUGAAAUUUAAGCUAACAUACUCCACAUUCAAACUAACCAAAUUAAUGAUUAAUACAACAGAAACAAGAUUUAAAAGAUAACCGAACCAAGUAUUCAAACAAACUAGAUUGCAAUUAACUUGACUUGUACAAACUAACAUAGAAAACAACUGAAUUCACCAACUAAAACGCGUAACAGAAAUUAAUCGAUCAUUGUUAACUAUCCGACAACAACUAACAACAACUAAAUAAACGACUAUUACUAAUCUUAAAUCAGAACCUAAUCGUAUGGAAACAAUUGAUUCAUCUUGCUAUCACGAACGAUUCAUGGUUGAAUCAAAUAGAAAUUUUAGCAACUACACAAAAAUGAACUUUGAUCUAAUCAAAUCGCCAAGGAUCAAAACGAGCAAUUAACUAUCGACAAGAAAUAUACGAUUUAAACUAAACCUAUAUCCAAUUAGAGAAGUAGAAAUCAGAAAAAGGGGCACUAGGAAUUUACCAUAAUAACUAAAUCAGAUUGCCCUAAUCUAUCAAAUACGAUGCAAAAUGCAUCAAGUCGACCCCCCAAACACUGUUUUCUCGAUGGCAUGUCCUGGAAAAAAUGAGCUUCAGCAUAGCAGUUGAUUCCAAAUCAUGCCAAAGAGAAAAGGGUGUUGUGGGGUCGCGUUCAUGCUAGAAAUCAGUUAAAAGAGGUUGGUUGGGUGUUUUAGGGGCGACGACAGGCAUGGUGGUGGCGGCAACAAUAGUAGCAUAAGGUGAGGGAAAGGGUUUUGAGGAUUUUGGGGUAUGGAAUAGGAAAGAGUAGGAGGAGAAGAGGAGCUAGUGAAAUUUUGAGGGGUUUUGGGCAGUGGCGCGCGGCGCGGCAAAGGCGGCGGCGCGACUAGGGUUUGGGUUAAUCAAUUUUUGGUAGAGAUUUGGGGUAUUUGGGUGUUGGAUCUAGAAAGACGGUGAUGAGAAUAAAAGAACGGUAUAAUUUGAGUGUGUUUGGAGGAUGGCCGUCGCCAGUGGGCAAUUUUCGGCGGCGGAACUGGGCUGCGAUGGGCUGCAGUGAUGGGGUCUAGGAGAAUAUAGAGAGAGAGAGAAGAGAGAGGAAGGAGAGAG
This 1656-nucleotide long non-coding RNA is filed under the name Nicotiana benthamiana. RNAcentral describes it as "long non-coding RNA (NBEN_LNC014641)". Lineage: Eukaryota; Viridiplantae; Streptophyta; Magnoliopsida; Solanales; Solanaceae. The record is from RNAcentral.